CCUAUGGGGUGCANCAGGCGAGAAAACUUUGCAAUGUGCGAAAGCACGACAAGGUUAAUCCGAGUGGUUUCUGCUAAAGGAACCUUUUGACAGUCCUAAAACACAACUGUUGCANGAAGGGNGGGCAAAANGUGGU
This 136-nucleotide ribosomal RNA is filed under the name uncultured crenarchaeote. RNAcentral describes it as "partial 16S ribosomal RNA". It matches the Rfam family "Archaeal small subunit ribosomal RNA", at positions 322 to 456 of the family's 1478-position model. The record is from RNAcentral. Lineage: Archaea; Thermoproteati; Thermoproteota.